UUAAAGCAAAGAGCAAGUGAUGGAUAAGUCUGGAAUGGAUUCUCUUGACUACGUGACAUUGGACUCAGCUGUGGAAACUGAAAAUCAAAGUGAUAAUUCUUCUGGUAGCAGCUUAUUUAAAACGCAGUGUGUUCGUGACUCACCUAAACGGAAGCAAAGAAACCCUAUUAAAAAAUUUGUUCAUUUGCCUGAAAGUGUUCAAGCAAGAGAGUCAUCAAGUGACUCAUCUAUAGAACCAGUAACUUUAAAAGCUAUUUUUGAUAGAUUCAAGAAUAGGAAACGUAAAUGCAGAAAGAGGAAAUACAAACCAACAGGAAGACAAAGGGGAAGACCAAAAGGAAGUAAAAACCCUAGAUAUUCACAAAUAAGUAAGAAACUAUUAGAAGACAAAGGACCUGGGUUCCCAUUUUUGGAAUCAGAGACUGACAGAAAACCAUUACCUUGGAGAAAAAUUUUAAAUUUUGAGCAAGCUGUUGCAAGAGGAUUUUUCAACUACAUUGAAAAACUGAAGUAUGAGCACCACCUUAAAGAAUCAUUGAAACAAAUGGAUGUUGGCGAAGAAUUAGAAAAAGAAGAUUUUGAUAGUCGUAGAUACAAAUAUUUGGAUGAUGAUGGAUCCAUUUCUCCUAUUGAAGAGUCAGUAGCAGAGGAUCAGGAUACAACACAUACUGAACAGGAUGAAUGUGAUAUCAAAUUGGGAGCGGAUAGUUGUUUCAUAAUAAGUUCUGAUUUCCCAAGGAAGAUCAAUGUACAUGUAGAACAAGAGAAUAGUACUAAAGAAGCUGCUGUGUCUAAAAAGAGAGCUACAAAGGCCAAAAACAUUGGACAGAGGAUACCACGGAGACAGGAACAUGAAUAUCAAAGAAGGCUUUUAUCUUGAGAACAUGGUGUCUGGAGUUGAAGGUAUUGGCAUAUCCCACUGAUCUGUACUAUUGAGUGUGAUGGCUUUAGGAACUAAUGAUUUGAACUCAUUCAUUUUUCUAAGAGGGUGUCAAAUUGAGAACCAGGCAGAUCCAUCUACUCUAAAAAUGUAAGGUUUUCUAUUUCUGUUCCUUUCUGGCUGCUGGCUUCUUCCCUCUAUUGUUAGCAUUGCCAGCAUAACAAGAACUGCAUGCAGAUACUUUCAGAGUGUGUACAAUCUGGAGAGGAACUUUUACCAAAGCCUCAUUCUAGAUGAGAAUGGACACUGUUGAUCACAGUGUCCAAAAAUUGUUAAUGUGGCUAAAUUGACACAGGUUAUGCUUCCAUCACAGUACAUGUAUUGCAGUGGUGACAAUGAGACCUGUAACAUUUUGCACAGCUUGUGAGUGGAAAUAUAUGUAAGAAUGUUGACUUUUAAAUAUUAGAGAUGCUUAAAGAAUAAUAUACAGUCAUGCAUCAUGUAAUGACAGGGAUGCUUUUACACAAGGUCAGGAUCUUCAGUAUCACUGUCUUCCACCUCCACAUCUGUCCCACUGGAAGGUCUUCAGGGGCACUAACACGAUGGGGCUGUCAUCUCCUGUGGUGAUAAUACCUUGUGAAGGACCUGCCUUAGACUGUUUACAGUUAAUGUUUUUGUAAGUAGGGGAAAGCACACUCUAAGAAAUAUAAUAUAGAUACAGGUGUUAAGUAUUAUACAUAAUUGUAUGUGCUAUAUUUUUGUAUGACUGGCAGUACAGGUUUGCUUGUGCCUGCAUCACCACAAUGUGUUAGGUCACUGGGCAAUAGGAAAUUUUUAGCCUCAUUAUUAUCUUACAGAAACACUGUUCUAUAUGCAGUCCGUUGUUGACUGAAACAUUAUGUAGUGCACGACUGCAUUAGAUCAUGUGUCAAAAUACCAAUGUACUUUCUACAAUUCAGCUUUUAGGACCCUGAAGUAAUAACUUGCUUGAAGAAAUUAGAUCCCAAAAAUUCUUGGUGGGGAGUUUAAGUUUUCAUCAGUAUGUCCAUAUCCAAGUGGAGAUAAAAGAAGCCAAAAUAAAAAGAAAAGAAUUGUGGCAAGCAACUUCUGGUAAGAUAAAAACUAUUUGCCAAAGGGUAUAAUGGUCAUUACCAAGGCUUUUAGAAUGCAGUUUCUCAUUUGCUGUGGACAUGACCAUAAAAAAACUUCCCACUAGGUUUUCUAUCUGCUACUUUGCUAGCAAUUAGCCUACUGGGAACAUUUUAUUAACCCUUUAUUAGCCUAUUUUACUUCCAUUGCCUAGAUGAGCACUGUCCAAGUGAAAAUAUAAGGCAAGCAGCAUGUGAUUAUUUAAUACAUGUGAAAUUUACAACAGACACAUUUCACAUUCUCACUGACCACAGUGCACACCUAGAUCUCUUAUACCUUGUAGCUUUGUCUAGCUAAUUAUCAUUGUAACCCUUCUGGAUGGCUAAUAAGUAGGUGGUUUGUUUCAUUAUAUGAUCAUCUCUAGAAAUGUAACUUUUAUAUUGUUAUGUAGGGAUGACAGGACAACUGUGGAUGGAGGAUCUAUUAAAAAGGGCCAUCUUGAAGGUAAAUCUUGAAAGACCGCCAGCCUUUGAGGAACUCAGGCUACCUUGAC
This is an RNA transcript of Propithecus coquereli (Coquerel's sifaka), 2522 nucleotides long. It is a transcript of the gene named TATA box binding protein (TBP)-associated factor, RNA polymerase I, D, 41kDa, with no coding region annotated. NCBI's taxonomy places the organism in Eukaryota, Metazoa, Chordata, Mammalia, Primates, Indriidae. The record is from RefSeq and is a predicted model, not a curated record. The transcript has 11 exons.